AUUUCUUAAACUUAAUUUAUAUAGUUUAAUUAAAACAUUACAUUUUCAUUGUAAAAUUAAAUAUUAUUAUUUUAUAA
RNAcentral lists this transfer RNA (77 nucleotides) under Microtrichalus sp. BM0116. RNAcentral describes it as "tRNA-Glu". Lineage: Eukaryota; Metazoa; Arthropoda; Insecta; Coleoptera; Lycidae. The record is from RNAcentral. RNAcentral also lists the same sequence under 1 other name.